GAUGAACGCUGGCUACAGGCUUAACACAUGCAAGUCGAGGGGAAACGACGGGGAAGCUUGCUUCCCUGGGCGUCGACCGGCGCACGGGUGAGUAACGCGUAUCCAACCUGCCUCUGACUGAGGGAUAACCCGUCGAAAGUCGGCCUAAUACCUCAUGGCAUCGUCUGCGGGCAUCCAACGACGAUUAAAGAUUUCAUCGGUCAGGGAUGGGGAUGCGUCUGAUUAGCUUGUUGGCGGGGUAACGGCCCACCAAGGCGACGAUCAGUAGGGGUUCUGAGAGGAAGGUCCCCCACAUUGGAACUGAGACACGGUCCAAACUCCUACGGGAGGCAGCAGUGAGGAAUAUUGGUCAAUGGGCGAGAGCCUGAACCAGCCAAGUAGCGUGCAGGAUGACGGCCCUAUGGGUUGUAAACUGCUUUUAUGCGGGGAUAAAGUGAGGGACGUGUCCUUCAUUGCAGGUACCGCAUGAAUAAGGACCGGCUAAUUCCGUGCCAGCAGCCGCGGUAAUACGGAAGGUCCGGGCGUUAUCCGGAUUUAUUGGGUUUAAAGGGAGCGUAGGCCGUGGAUUAAGCGUGUUGUGAAAUGCAGGUGCUCAACGUCUGCACUGCAGCGCGAACUGGUUCACUUGAGUGUGCGCAACGCAGGCGGAAUUCGUCGUGUAGCGGUGAAAUGCUUAGAUAUGACGAAGAACUCCGAUUGCGAAGGCAGCUUGCGGGAGCACAACUGACGCUGAAGCUCGAAAGUGCGGGUAUCGAACAGG
RNAcentral lists this ribosomal RNA (760 nucleotides) under uncultured Prevotella sp. RNAcentral's name for it is "bacterial SSU rRNA". It matches the Rfam family "Bacterial small subunit ribosomal RNA", at positions 28 to 776 of the family's 1533-position model. The record is from RNAcentral. Lineage: Bacteria; Pseudomonadati; Bacteroidota; Bacteroidia; Bacteroidales; Prevotellaceae.